CAGUAGCCGCGGUAAUACCGAGGGUGCAAGCGUUAAUCGGAAUUACUGGGCGUAAAGCGCGCGUAGGUGGUUCGCCAAGUUGGAUGUGAAAUCCCCGGGCUCAACCUGGGAACUGCAUCCAAAACUGGCGAGCUAGAGUAUGGUAGAGGGUGGUGGAAUUUCCUGUGUAGCGGUGAAAUGCGUAGAUAUAGGAAGGAACAUCAGUGGCGAAGGCGACCACCUGGACUGAUACUGACACUGAGGUGCGAAAGCGUGGGGAGCAAACAGGAUUAGAUACCCCAGUAGUCCCUGUCUCUUAUAA
This 301-nucleotide ribosomal RNA is filed under the name uncultured bacterium. Its description in RNAcentral is "partial 16S ribosomal RNA". It matches the Rfam family "Bacterial small subunit ribosomal RNA", at positions 509 to 809 of the family's 1533-position model. The record is from RNAcentral.